AUUGAACGCUGGCGGCAGGCUUAACACAUGCAAGUCGAGCGGAGAUGAGGUGCUUGCACCUUAUCUUAGCGGCGGACGGGUGAGUAAUGCUUAGGAAUCUGCCUAUUAGUGGGGGACAACAUUCCGAAAGGAAUGCUAAUACCGCAUACGUCCUACGGGAGAAAGCAGGGGAUCUUCGGACCUUGCGCUAAUAGAUGAGCCUAAGUCGGAUUAGCUAGUUGGUGGGGUAAAGGCCUACCAAGGCGACGAUCUGUAGCGGGUCUGAGAGGAUGAUCCGCCACACUGGGACUGAGACACGGCCCAGACUCCUACGGGAGGCAGCAGUGGGGAAUAUUGGACAAUGGGUGAAACCCUGAUCUAGCCAUGCCGCGUGUGUGAAGAAGGCCUUAUGGUUGUAAAGCACUUUAAGCGAGGAGGAGGCUACUGAGACUAAUACUCUUGGAUAGUGGACGUUACUCGCAGAAUAAGCACCGGCUAGCUCUGUGCCAGCCGCCGCGGUAA
Molecule: ribosomal RNA, 501 nt
Filed under: uncultured bacterium
Lineage: Bacteria
Description: partial 16S ribosomal RNA
Rfam family: Bacterial small subunit ribosomal RNA
Source: RNAcentral